AACGCGAAGAACCUUACCUGGGCUUGACAUGCUGGUGAAAGCCGGUGGAAACACCGGCCCCUCUUCGGAGCGCCAGCACAGGUGCUGCAUGGCUGUCGUCAGCUCGUGUCGUGAGAUGUUGGGUUAAGUCCCGCAACGAGCGCAACCCUCGCUCCCAGUUGCCAGCGGUUCGGCCGGGGACUCUGGGGGGACUGCCGGCGUUAAGCCGGAGGAAGGUGGGGACGACGUCAAGUCAUCACGGCCCUUACGUCCAGGGCGACACACGUGCUACAAUGCCCGGUACAGCGCGUCGCGAACUCGCGAGAGGGAGCCAAUCGCUAAAAGCCGGGCUAAGUUCGGAUUGCAGUCUGCAACUCGACUGCAUGAAGCCGGAAUCGCUAGUAAUCGCGGAUCAGCCACGCCGCGGUGAAUCCGUUCCCGGGCCUUGUA
Molecule: ribosomal RNA, 429 nt
Filed under: uncultured delta proteobacterium
Lineage: Bacteria; Deltaproteobacteria
Also listed under: 1 other name
Description: bacterial SSU rRNA
Rfam family: Bacterial small subunit ribosomal RNA
Source: RNAcentral